AAUCAGACCUUAUUUGCCACAGCAGAACUCACACUGGAGAGAAGCCCUACAAAUGUAAAGAAUGUGGCAAAGCUUUCAGUCAAAAAUCACACCUUAUUUGCCACAGUAGAACUCACACUGGAGAGAAACCUUACAAAUGUAAAGAAUGUGACAAAGCUUUCAGUCGAAAAUCAAACCUUAUUCGCCACAGAAGAAUUCACACUGGAGAGAAGCCGUACCAAUGCAAAGAAUGUGGCAAAGCUUUCAGUCAAAAAUCAAAUCUUAUUUGCCACAGAAGAACUCACACUGGAGAGAAGCCCUACAAAUGUAAAGAAUGUGGCAAAGCUUUCAGUCACAAAAUAGACCUUAUUCACCACAGCAGAACUCACACUGGAGAGAAGCCCUACAAAUGUAAAGAAUGUGGCAAAGCUUUUAGUCGAAAAUCAUACCUUAUUUGCCACAGUAGAACUCACACUGGAGAGAAACCCUACAAAUGUAAAGAAUGUGGCAAAGCUUUCAGUCGAAAAUCAAACCUUAUUCACCACAGGAGAAUUCACACUGGAGAGAAGCCGUACCAAUGCAAAGAAUGUGGCAAAGCUUUCAGUCAAAAAUCACACCUUAUUUGCCACAGAGAAUUCACACUCAAAAGAAGCCCUACAAAUGUAAGGAAUGUGGCAAAGCUUUUAGAAUAAAACAGGCAUUAUUCACCAUAGAAGAACUCACUCUGGAGAAAUAGUCCUAAAAAUGUGAAUAAAGUGGCAAAACUUUUAAUAAAAAAUAAAACUUUAUUCACCACAGCAGAAGACACAAUGGUGAAUAUGAAAUGUAAAUAAAGUGAUAAUACUUUUAAAGAAAAACUAAACCUCAUUAACAACAGAAUUUAUAAAGGAAAGAACCCCUAUGAAUGAAAACAAUGUAUC
This 899-nucleotide long non-coding RNA is filed under the name Marmota monax (woodchuck). The record is from RNAcentral. Lineage: Eukaryota; Metazoa; Chordata; Mammalia; Rodentia; Sciuridae.